Molecule: ribosomal RNA, 1269 nt
Filed under: Microbacterium sp. SMX-1S-SPCE20
Lineage: Bacteria; Bacillati; Actinomycetota; Actinomycetes; Micrococcales; Microbacteriaceae
Description: bacterial SSU rRNA
Rfam family: Bacterial small subunit ribosomal RNA
Source: RNAcentral
ACACGUGAGCAACCUGCCCCUCACUCUGGGAUAAGCGCUGGAAACGGCGUCUAAUACUGGAUACGAGUUGGAGCCGCAUGGUUACCAACUGGAAAGAUUUUUUGGUGGGGGAUGGGCUCGCGGCCUAUCAGCUUGUUGGUGAGGUAAUGGCUCACCAAGGCGUCGACGGGUAGCCGGCCUGAGAGGGUGACCGGCCACACUGGGACUGAGACACGGCCCAGACUCCUACGGGAGGCAGCAGUGGGGAAUAUUGCACAAUGGGCGGAAGCCUGAUGCAGCAACGCCGCGUGAGGGAUGACGGCCUUCGGGUUGUAAACCUCUUUUAGCAGGGAAGAAGCGAAAGUGACGGUACCUGCAGAAAAAGCACCGGCUAACUACGUGCCAGCAGCCGCGGUAAUACGUAGGGUGCAAGCGUUAUCCGGAAUUAUUGGGCGUAAAGAGCUCGUAGGCGGUUUGUCGCGUCUGCUGUGAAAUCCCGAGGCUCAACCUCGGGCCUGCAGUGGGUACGGGCAGACUAGAGUGCGGUAGGGGAGAUUGGAAUUCCUGGUGUAGCGGUGGAAUGCGCAGAUAUCAGGAGGAACACCGAUGGCGAAGGCAGAUCUCUGGGCCGUAACUGACGCUGAGGAGCGAAAGGGUGGGGAGCAAACAGGCUUAGAUACCCUGGUAGUCCACCCCGUAAACGUUGGGAACUAGUUGUGGGGUCCUUUCCACGGAUUCCGUGACGCAGCUAACGCAUUAAGUUCCCCGCCUGGGGAGUACGGCCGCAAGGCUAAAACUCAAAGGAAUUGACGGGGACCCGCACAAGCGGCGGAGCAUGCGGAUUAAUUCGAUGCAACGCGAAGAACCUUACCAAGGCUUGACAUACACCAGAACACCGUAGAAAUACGGGACUCUUUGGACACUGGUGAACAGGUGGUGCAUGGUUGUCGUCAGCUCGUGUCGUGAGAUGUUGGGUUAAGUCCCGCAACGAGCGCAACCCUCGUUCUAUGUUGCCAGCACGUAAUGGUGGGAACUCAUGGGAUACUGCCGGGGUCAACUCGGAGGAAGGUGGGGAUGACGUCAAAUCAUCAUGCCCCUUAUGUCUUGGGCUUCACGCAUGCUACAAUGGCCGGUACAAAGGGCUGCAAUACCGUGAGGUGGAGCGAAUCCCAAAAAGCCGGUCCCAGUUCGGAUUGAGGUCUGCAACUCGACCUCAUGAAGUCGGAGUCGCUAGUAAUCGCAGAUCAGCAACGCUGCGGUGAAUACGUUCCCGGGUCUUGUACACACCGC